Struthio camelus australis is the source of this 1298-nucleotide non-coding RNA. Lineage: Eukaryota; Metazoa; Chordata; Aves; Struthioniformes; Struthionidae. The record is from RefSeq and is a predicted model, not a curated record.
GAGCAAGUCGUUUGUCUCAAAAGGUAAAUCCUUCUGCAAACGCGUUGCUUUUUUUAAUUACGGCCCGCAGGCGUUGGCUUGGGGCGGGGAAACGGGGUGCGUUCCCCGGGUUUCCCUGCAAACCAGGGCGUUUUGUGAAACUUUGCUUUUGUCGGAUGCCAAGACGGAGGUGUCGCAACGUAAGGAGACGCGCCGGGAGCCUGUAACCCAGCCGAGAGCAGCCAAGGCACGAAACGUGCCGCAGCCCGACGCGUUUGCUGGUCUUAGGUAUGAUGCACGGCGCUUGCACGGUCCGUUUGAGCACUGGUGUUAUAUCCAAAAACCCAAAAAAAAAAAAAAACACCCAAACAGGCAGCUCAUUUUGAUGAGUCAAAACCAGAGAAACAGCACGCAAUUCCAGUCCGCGGGGUGAAGCAGCAGGACGUACAAACCUUGCCGCUUUCGACCCUUGCGUUGAGUUUGUGGCGUUGCCUGCAGCGGGCCCAAGGCGUCCCCGGCGUAACCGUGCUGACCUUGUGGACGCGUCUGGAGGGCUUACGCCUAGAUCUGGUUUGACGGUCACCUCGGACGUCUUGCCUUGCUCCUCUGCUCUGUGCCUCAGUUUCUCUGUUUGGAAGAAGAUAUUCGCCUCCUUUGAGAUCUCCUGAUGAAAGCUCUGCGGAGGAGCUGUUACAGAAGAAGGGAGGGAGGACCAAACUUGUCAGGGUAGCCCUGACGCGGAGAAGGUUAUUUCAUGUUGUUGUGGUUGGAUGAAUCUGGUGCCGUGAAGACUCCUGGAGGGGCACCUUAGGAGCCUGGAGGAUUGCAGCGGGGAGACCGAACCUCUUCGGUAUGGCCAGCAGCCUACCCAUGAGCUCAGAUUUCCAGCAUUACAGUUUCAGGAUGCCUAACAUCGGGUUCCAGAACCUGCCUCUCAACAUAUAUAUCGUGGUUUUCGGCACAGCCAUCUUCGUCUUCAUCCUCAGUUUACUCUUCUGUUGCUACUUGAUCAGGCUCAGACACCAAGCCCACAAAGAGCUUUACGCCUACAAACAGGUGAGGUGCUAAACAGUAAGUUGCCUUUUUCUCCCCUUUUGCUUAGAGCCAAAUACGCGUAAAGGCCACGGGUUUCUUGAAGCGAUGGCUUUUUUUUCCGUUUUCGGUCCUGCGGCCGCCGGGGCGCUCGCCUUGCCGUCGGUGAGCCGGGCUGCGAAAAGAAAAAGGAGGUGGUGGGGGGGGAACGGGGAAGAAUCAGCAGGAGGAAAAAAAAAUAAUAAUAAUAAUUGUAGGAGUAUCGUUGAGAAAGAAAACCUAAACUC